GAUGAACGCUAGCGACAGGCCUAACACAUGCAAGUCGAGGGGCUGCGGGGGUGAUGGCUUGCCAUCACCUGCCGGCGACCGGCGCACGGGUGAGUAACACGUAUGCAACCUGCCCGCCACAGGGGGAUAAGCGGAAGAAAUUCCGUCUAAUACCGCGUGACGCGGCGUCGGGGCAUCCCGGUGCCGCCAAAGGGAUUACCGGUGGCGGAUGGGCAUGCGGCGCAUUAGCUAGUCGGCGGGGUAACGGCCCACCGAGGCGACGAUGCGUAGGGGUUCUGAGAGGAAGGUCCCCCACACUGGUACUGAGACACGGACCAGACUCCUACGGGAGGCAGCAGUGAGGAAUAUUGGUCAAUGGGCGCGAGCCUGAACCAGCCAAGUCGCGUGAGGGAUGACGGUCCUACGGAUUGUAAACCUCUUUUGCCGGGGAGCAAGCGCGCGUUCGUGAACGCGCGUCGAGAGUACCCGGAGAAAAAGCAUCGGCUAACUCCGUGCCAGCAGCCGCGGUAAUACGGAGGAUGCGAGCGUUAUCCGGAUUUAUUGGGUUUAAAGGGUGCGUAGGCGGGAUGCCAAGUCAGCGGUAAAAAUGCGGUGCUCAACGCCGUCGAGCCGUUGAAACUGGCGUUCUUGAGUGGGCGAGAAGUAUGCGGAAUGCGUGGUGUAGCGGUGAAAUGCAUAGAUAUCACGCAGAACUCCGAUUGCGAAGGCAGCAUACCGGCGCCCUACUGACGCUGAGGCACGAAAGCGUGGGUAUCGAACAGGAUUAGAUACCCUGGUAGUCCACGCAGUAAACGAUGAAUGCUAACUGUCCGGCGCGAAUGAGCGCUGGGCGGUACAGCGAAAGCGUUAAGCAUUCCACCUGGGGAGUACGCCGGCAACGGUGAAACUCAAAGGAAUUGACGGGGGCCCGCACAAGCGGAGGAACAUGUGGUUUAAUUCGAUGAUACGCGAGGAACCUUACCCGGGCUCAAACGCAGGAUGACGGGUCCCGAAAGGGGCCUUUCUUCGGACAUUCUGCGAGGUGCUGCAUGGUUGUCGUCAGCUCGUGCCGUGAGGUGUCGGCUUAAGUGCCAUAACGAGCGCAACCCCUGUUCACAGUUGCCAGCAGGUAAAGCUGGGGACUCUGUGGAGACUGCCGGCGCAAGCUGCGAGGAAGGCGGGGAUGACGUCAAAUCAGCACGGCCCUUACGUCCGGGGCGACACACGUGUUACAAUGGCAGGUACAGCGGGAUGCCACGGGGCGACCCGGCGCUGAACCCGAAAACCUGUCUCAGUUCGGAUUGGAGUCUGCAACCCGACUCCAUGAAGCUGGAUUCGCUAGUAAUCGCGCAUCAGCCACGGCGCGGUGAAUACGUUCCCGGGCCUUGUACACACCGCCCGUCAAGCCAUGGAAGCCGGGGGUACCUGAAGUGCGUGACCGCGAGGAGCGCCCUAGGGUAAAACCGGUGACUGGGGCU
RNAcentral lists this ribosomal RNA (1457 nucleotides) under uncultured bacterium. RNAcentral describes it as "partial 16S ribosomal RNA". It matches the Rfam family "Bacterial small subunit ribosomal RNA". The record is from RNAcentral.